CUCUUAAAAAUUGCUAUCUUCACAAAUGACCUCAAUUAAGUUUGCCCUAAAGCAGUGGCUUACAACAACAUUUCUCAUUUUUCACAGGUCAUCACCCAGAGUUAACCAGUUAGGAAGGAUUACACAUCUGGAACUGCUGUAUCCAUUCACCACUGGCCUGAGGAUGGAGCUUAUCCAUGGAGAAGCACAGAGUGGUCUGGAAGAGGCACAGGGAAGUGGAGGUAGCCAAAGGCUGGCGUACAAUGGCCUCAUUCAUAAUGUGAGUAGGCCUCAUUCAAUCAGUAUACAAUGGUGCGAUCUCGGCUCACAAAAACCUCUGUCUCCUUGGAUCAAGCGAUUCUCCUGCCUCAGCCUCCCAAGAAGCUGGGAUUACAGGUAUGCACCACCAUGUCCCGGAUAA
Molecule: long non-coding RNA, 400 nt
Filed under: Callithrix jacchus (white-tufted-ear marmoset)
Lineage: Eukaryota; Metazoa; Chordata; Mammalia; Primates; Cebidae
Description: lncRNA (ENSCJAG00000069169.2)
Source: RNAcentral